UAGAUGAAAGUGGUUAUGCAUGUGGUGUGUAGGGUUCAUUAUUUUACUUUUCUCUUCUGCUGUCUUUCCCCUGCUGUUUUUAUUAAUUAUUUUGUCGCUGUUCUCCAUUCAGUAGGUUUGAAGGAAUUCUAAUUGUUGAGAUUAUGUUUCUUUAAAGGCUCACUUAGCCCACCUUUUGGAUGAAGGAAAAAAGACAAGAUUCUCUAAGAAGAGUAAAAAGUACACUUUAAAUAGGCAUUCAGAAAUGUCUGCUGAUGCCAUGCCAUUACCAUGUAAUCAGCAGAAAUGUGUUGGUGAAACACCCAUCAGUGACUUCACAAAAAAGCCACAGUCAGACAGACAACCUACACCUUUUUCAGAAGCAUUGGGAAAUGUAGAUGCAAGUUCAGCUGAGAAAGUCAGAGGCCUGCCUGAUGUAGUUGGUAAAACUGGUUUCUCUUAAUGUCAUCUAUUUUAAUUUGCAUUCACAGGAGACAUGGUACAUGUAACAGUUUUAGCUGAACAAGGUAUGAAAUUGUGCUGGUUUGAAAGAAAAUCAGCAGGAGAAAUUAACCCCACACAAAUACCUUGUGAGAGAUUUUGGAGUUACAAUUUUGUGAGAGAUUUUUGAGUUACAAUUUAAUAGAAAGAUUACAGUAAAUGCAAUGAUACAGAAAAACAUUUAAAACACAAAGGCAGAGUACAGCCUGGCACCCUUGUGGUCAGGGUUGCAGUGGUUGCAGUCCUGCCAGAAGCAGUGGUCUUGUGAAAGUUUGGGUCCUCCUCUGGAUGUCCAGUGGUGGUGGUGGUGUCCCAAGUGCCCAACUGCCCAGAUUAUAUACAUGGGGUUCAGGUGGUACAUCCCCCAGGGCAGGGAGGUUCACAAUGGAAUGAUAGAAUCCCUUGAAUCUAGAAUAUUUCUGGAGUCCUUCAUCAGCUGUCCAUUCUGCUAGUACAUAUUCAGUUCAUUAUGGCCCAUUGGCAGACAUGACCCUCACUGGAUGGGUGGUGCUGCUGCUUCCCCAGCUGAAGGAAGGAUAAAGAAACACUAUCUCACCCUGCAGGGUCUGCUUCUUCUCAUUUUAACAUCCAGCUUUUAUCCUGGGGGGUCAGGUAUGCACUGAAAAUGAUCUAUCAUUAACAGCUCAUCACAAAAUGAGGUAGAGGGGAGUAAAAUACAGUUU
This 1163-nucleotide long non-coding RNA is filed under the name Cyanistes caeruleus (blue tit). RNAcentral's name for it is "lncRNA (ENSCCEG00000003276.1)". The record is from RNAcentral. Lineage: Eukaryota; Metazoa; Chordata; Aves; Passeriformes; Paridae.